AUACGUAGGGAGCGAGCGUUGUCCGGAAUUACUGGGUGUAAAGGGAGCGUAGGCGGGAGUGCAAGUCAGAUGUGAAAUACAUGGGCUCAACCCAUGGGCUGCAUUUGAAACUGCAUUUCUUGAGUGAAGUAGAGGUAAGCGGAAUUCCUGGUGUAGCGGUGAAAUGCGUAGAUAUCAGGAGGAACACCGGUGGCGAAGGCGGCUUACUGGGCUUUUACUGACGCUGAGGCUCGAAAGCGUGGGUAGCAAACAGGAUUAGAUACCCUGGUAGUCCACGCUGUAAACGAUGAUUACUAGGUGUGGGGGGACUGACCCCUUCCGUGCCGCAGUUAACACAAUAAGUAAUCCACCUGGGGAGUACGGCCGCAAGGUUGAAACUCAAAGGAAUUGGCGGGG
Molecule: ribosomal RNA, 396 nt
Filed under: uncultured bacterium
Lineage: Bacteria
Description: partial 16S ribosomal RNA
Rfam family: Bacterial small subunit ribosomal RNA
Source: RNAcentral